Long non-coding RNA from Telopea speciosissima, 310 nucleotides. RefSeq lists it as uncharacterized. The record is from RefSeq and is a predicted model, not a curated record. The transcript has 3 exons. NCBI's taxonomy places the organism in Eukaryota, Viridiplantae, Streptophyta, Magnoliopsida, Proteales, Proteaceae.
GGGUGAAAAUGGAUUUCAACUUAGCAGCAAGAUUGCUCAAUCAAACUUAAUUCCUUCUGGGUUGUGCGUUCUUUAUCAUGAAUGGCUUCUGUUGAGUUAGCUGCCCUGUUUGAUAUGCUUCUUACUCAAGAACAGUGAAUGGACAAUAGUAAUCCUGAUGGGUGAAACUAGUAGUCUUAAUCCUUGAUCUCUCUGUGUCUUAUCUCAGCCACAAUUUUGUUCACUUUCAAGCUAUCAGCAAGUGUUUCUGAUCUCUGUAAUGAUCUUAUUAGAGCAUUUCCAAUUGAAAUGCAAGGCUCCAAUUCAAUUA